UCCUGCCAGAAGAAAAAAAACAAAAGGGCACAUUAACAGACUUUUGCCUUCAGUGAUCCCAUGAUAAUCUUCUGCCUCUGUUUACUGACAGGGUCUUCUUACCAUGUUCUUUGUCUCCUUUUCCCCCACUGGCUUCCUCUUCAACACAGGGCAUUUCCAACGUUAAGUCCUGCACAUCAUCAACAACAGACUCCUAAUAAAGAAAGACAUUGAUAUGGAUGUAGAUGGUAAUAUUCAACAUUUUACCUACCUGUGAAUCAGAGAAACCAUCUUCGUCUGAAUUCCUAAAUCCUUCUGGUGCUUCCAUAAGGAUCUCAAGGUCCAGGGUGGACUUGUGUGACUGACUGUCAGUGGUUCUGUCCUCUGUCUCUGCUUCAGCCUGUAAAGAUGUGUCCUGGCUUACAUCUGCCUUUACUUCUUCUGCUGUGACACACACCUGUGUCAUGCCACUGUCAGACACAUCUGCAGUCUCCAAAACACACACAGGAGGCACCGAUGAGACGUCAGGACAAG
This is a long non-coding RNA of Cynoglossus semilaevis (tongue sole), 513 nucleotides long. RefSeq lists it as uncharacterized. Lineage: Eukaryota; Metazoa; Chordata; Actinopteri; Pleuronectiformes; Cynoglossidae. The transcript has 3 exons. The record is from RefSeq and is a predicted model, not a curated record.